CAAAUUCAUAAUUUGAUAUAACUUAGAGAAAACUCCACCAGGUUGAUUUAGUGGUAAGGUGUCCUUUAGUUUGGGUCUGAAUUCCUCUGCCAACUCCAUUAGUAACUACAUCUGGCAUUUCUAUUCUAGAAAGUACCUGAUACACAUAGCAUAAAAGGAGAACUAACUUGGCGGAACUGCAUGUUUGAAUUGGUAAUCAACUACAAUGAUCUCAGCCUGUUUGAGCUUGAGCAGCAGUCAAAGACAUUUUAAGAACACCUCUUUAUUUGUUAAUUUUUAUUCGGGAACAGAUUUUUAAUGGCUU
This 304-nucleotide unclassified non-coding RNA is filed under the name Hevea brasiliensis (rubber tree). The record is from RNAcentral. Lineage: Eukaryota; Viridiplantae; Streptophyta; Magnoliopsida; Malpighiales; Euphorbiaceae.